Molecule: long non-coding RNA, 28172 nt
Filed under: Coffea arabica (coffee)
Lineage: Eukaryota; Viridiplantae; Streptophyta; Magnoliopsida; Gentianales; Rubiaceae
Description: long non-coding RNA (CARA_LNC004979)
Source: RNAcentral
UUUUUUUUUUUUUUUUUUUUUUUUGUAAGUGGGGAAGGGAUGGAUUAUAAUUAGUUCCCAAGGCCAAAUCUAAUUAAUAUAUUUUUACUACUAAGAUUUAAUUUAAAAUUAGGUUGGCCCAUUCAAAGUUAUAGAGUGAUCAAAUUUCUCCACAUUACUAACGAAUUUAUCUAUCUAAAAACAAAGAGCAAACAACGAAGAAAAAUGGAACAAAUCAAAAUAAGGAAAUUCCUAUUUAAUUUUAUUAUUUGUCAUCUUUUGCUUGUUGAAAUUUGUUAUAUUCUCUGUGGCAUUAUUAAACAAUGAAUUGAUAAAAAGUACAAAAAAAUAUCUCUCUUUUAUUAAUUUCCCUUGAAAAUAAUCAAAUUCAUGUUGAAUUAGUUUUAUGUUUCUAUAUGUUGCUUUCGAUUUAUUACAUUUGAAAUCAACUAUUCAUGAUGAUAGUUAUAGUGACAACUAGGGAAAAAAAAAGGCACCAAAAAUUUGCAAAGAUUAGGUAAUACUGAGCUGGUUAUCAAUAAAAGAACAAAUAUGAUUGAGAAAGUUUGACUCGCGUGAGAGACACAAAUAUAAAAGCGCCAAUAACGCUGUCAAUUGAAAAAAAAAAAGUAUAUUCAAUAAUAAUAAAUCGAAAACAUACAAUUUUAGUUGUUUGAGAUCCCUGAAAUUAGAGGUCAUGAAUUCAAAUCCCCUUCUUAAACCCCACCCUUGCCUCGCUAAAAGAAAAGUUUUCUGUAUAUAUAUAUAUAUAUAUAUGUAUGUAUGUAUGUAUGUAUAUAUGUAUGUAUGUAUACACCUUGUACAAUCAUAUAAGUUUUCUUUUAUUAUAGUUUCAUUUAAUAUUUUGCAUCCUAGAACCUAAUAUCUUUGUAUAUCUUGUAUGGUUAUCUAUGACAUCUAGGGACAAAACCAGAUAAUAUACUCUGACGAAGCUAUUUUUAUACACAUGCAAACUUUGCAGUCAAGACAUGAGUUUUUGGAAGUUUUUUUUGGUCUUGAGGGAGGGGGAGUUCAAUUCAUAAAGAACACUGUUGAAAAUUUUCAAAACUUAAAGGGGAAAAACAUAUGAUUGGGAAGGACUUUGGUUUGGUGGGCGGUUUUCAUAGUAGAUGUGCGAUAAUUUGCGUCUUCCAACGUCCAACCUACCUAUUGCACUUUUUCCUUCCACACCUGUCUACUAUUUGGUAACCAAUCCAUUAGGGAAUAGGGAGUCCAUUUCGAAGUUUACUAGGCCAGGAGUUCCCAUUCCCUAGUUUCCCGCUGGAGAAUAAGAUAGAAGUAAAAGAAAAGAGACGGAGUGAUGGACCCUAUAUCCACGCUGCAGCAUCGCUUUGGCGAAACAGCAGCUCAAUAGUCUCCCUUCACACGCAAUACUAUACUGCUAGGACUAAAAUUUUCUCGUUUCUUUCACGUCUAACAACUCUCUUUCCCAAAUCUCCUGUUAUCUUGGAGAGGAAAUGCAAGUGAUACCCAGAUGGAGAAGUAUAUUGAUUUUGAGGAAUUCAGUGAUUCAGUCAACAGCAAUUGCAUCAACAUCAAGAACCCAGCUGGCUGAUUUUCAUUCUACAACAGUUAGCCUUGAGAGAUGGAACAACAAAUGGCCUUCUGCCGGUAAAAAGACCCCUGUGAGUAUAUUUCUUUAGCACCCAGAAUAUAAGAAUCCCAUUUCAUAUAUGAGGAAAGCCCUGUUCGUUUUUCAUGUUCAGAAUCAAAACUUUGCUUCUUGUUAUCUGAUUACUUACUAAUGAUGGUUCUUAGCUUAGGUGGUGAUGUGCUAAGAUAUCUUGGUUGCUUGAAUAUUGGAAUUUUGUUGAAUGUGUGCUGUUGUAUUGUACAUAUGGAAUGACAGUUAUGUUGUGGUGGUAAAUUGUCUUUUUUGGACUAGAACCAUAAAAGGGGAUGAAGGUCUCAAAAUAGAUUUUCAAUUUUACAUGUUAAAGUCUGAAAUCUAGAGGUGCCAACUUGCAUGGUGUAAUGGCCAAUUUUAGGUGACACUGGAUGCUGCUUAGUUGUUUGAAUCAAUUUCAGUGGCCUGAGUAAUGUCCAAUGAGAAUUUCUUUUUGUUAUUUGAGUUGCACUGACAUAAAGAUUUGAACUUGUUCACAUUUUUCGUAUUUCUUUCAUCUUCCUUGAUUUCCAGGCGUGUAUCAGAAAAUGAAAUGAAUCUUGGUGUUUAAAAAUGUUUCAGGGGAAUAGUUAGCCUAUUAGUAUUCUUUUCAAUUUUCUAGUCCAUUGUGCAUAGGUAGAUGAAUAAAAAAAUCUCCAAUUUUUUCUUUCUUAUCAUCAUCUUGCAAAUUUGAUAAUCAGUGAUUAGGAUGGUGGCAGAUUGUUAUCCUGGCUCUUCUUUUUGUUUCCACAGAUGAAACUACCUUACCCAUAAUCACUUGUUUCAUGAACUAAUUUCUACAAAGCCUUUGAUACUUUUUGAAACGCUUUUCAGAAGAUGCCCUAGAUUCUGUUUACAAUGAUCAGGAUUGCAGCAAUUAUUCAUAAUUAUUGGACCAAGAUUAAUGGAUUUAUCUUUAGGAUGUCUAAUUUCAUAUGUGUUUGUUGGGGGGGGGGGGGGGGAGGAUACUUCAUUACGUUAAGAAAUGGCAGAGAAAUGCGGUUGUACUUAGUAAGACAAGGCAAAAGACAAUUAAACUUUUUGGGUGCGAAGCCGUUAAUACUAAUGAUCAUUUAUUUGUCAUGUAUGAGCUAAGUCCAUUUAUCUGUUGUAUGUGCUUGUGCCCCUUGGUUGAUUUUAGUUGCCUUGUUUUGAUGUCUAUCAAGCAUUCUCCACUUACCUGUUAUAGGUUAGUCCUUUUUAUUUGGUUAGUUUAUUACUAAUUUAGAAGUUUGACAUAUAAUGUCUGCAGGAUGUGAGAAGUGGCCAGAAACCAUCUAAGGUAAACUCCUAAAUAUAACGUUUUAAAAUUUCUAGCUGCUUCUCUGAACAUUCAAACUGAUUGUCAAGUUACCUGUUCCACCCCCUCAAAAGAAGUCUAUAUUUAUUGGAAAAUCUAAAAUUUGGAAUGACCGCUUUGAUGGUGGGUAAUUUUAGCGGGGUGUCCAACUUGUUUGUUAAUACCAUGUCAAAGUCAAAAGGAACACCUCAAACUUUAGUUCUGUUGUUGAUAAGGAAAUCUUUGAUCCAUUCUUUUCAUGUGCAAAAUGUUGUAUGAUGUCCUUUGACUUACCUGAAAUUCCAAAAGGUGAUAAAUUCGAUCUAAUAAAUUAAAAUAUAAAGAUCCGUAUUCUUUUCCUUUCAAGUUUUCUACCUAGGGAUUAGGUAUACAGCAAACUCAAAAGGGGGAGAAUUCGCUUCUUGUUUAGGGUAAGUUACAUUGAAAGUGGUGAGUCUUAACUAAACUAGUUGUACAGCUGCUGAAAUUUGGUUGUAAGAGAAUGUGCAAAAAGACAGUCAAUGAAAGAAAAACAAGGGUGUACAAGUGUAUAUCUGCUUAAGCAACACUCUUUCUCCUCCCCUCUUGCAUUUCCUGUUAAUAGCCGUUCUCCAUUUUCCUGGAAAUUGAUUCUAGUCCUUCACUGUUCUAACUUCAUUCAUCAGUUUUUUCAGUUGUGGCGAGAAGCCGUUUCUAGUUCUCUACUGUUCUUCCUUUUCUUUGACUUUGUAAAUUUCAACAGGAUUAUAUAAAAUACAAAAUUCGUCAGAAGCGUGCUGAUACCAAGAAAGCACUGAAAAAUCUACUCUUCAAUAGUGGAGCCUCCAGUUCUGUAUUUGAGGUAGAUCCUUGGACACAUGAAUGAGAUUUCUAACUUUUCUGGUAACUAGAAAUCCCUCUCCAUUGACUUGUUCUGUUUUUAUGCAUGUGAAUCCACACUGACUUUUGUGUCAGUUUUUCAUGAACACCGUGCUUGAUGAAUCUUAUUGUUGUAUGUUUACUUCCAUUCAAAUCAUUAAUGUUUCCCCUUUCUCUGUGCUACAUUUGUGACUGCCUUAAGGUGGAGGAUACACAUUUUUUAGGUCUAAAAUCCAUUUUUCUUGUAGCAUACACUGAAAUGUUGAGUUGUAAAAUUAUCAGGGAGUUAUACAUAUCUUUCAGUGUUGGCUUAUCCUAUACUUGUCGAAUAGACUAAAAUGCAAGUUGUUUUUUUCAUUCACUUUUAAAAGUAGACAUGUAUUUGGUGCUGAGAUUGCAAGGAAUUAUUUACAUACUAGGGAGUAAUUUAGUUACUUCUUAGCUCUUGGCUAAUCAGACUGUUUUUGGGGAUUCAUCUUUUUCUUUUCAUAUCAGACUAGCAUAGUGGUAAUCUGGUUUAAAUCUAAGAGCUGAAGGGUUCAGGUCAUUCUGGGUUCCUGAAAGAGUUGCCGGAUUGCUCUGUGAACUGACCCCAGAGUAAGGUAUCGUGGAUGCCAGCAACUUUCAGAUGUUAAGAGUAGCGUCUGCUCGGUGCCUUGUGUAGGAUAGAUUGGUUUUUGUUUGUGGUAAAGAGCCUUGCUUUUUCUGGACACUCUUGAAAGAAGGUUAUGCCAACGAUCUGGUAACCCAUGUAAACAAUCUAUUUAGAUUUUAUUUUCAUUUUUUACAAGGAAUAGCUUUAAGAUAAUCUUAGAACUCUCAUCCACAUUAGAAGCAUUUGAGGAUUUAGCUUUUUCCUAUACGACACACAAGAUGUAUUCUGAGCAUAUAAUCUGAUGAUAGUUCUGGUGAGAAGAUCCGUGUCCUUUCCUGCUCUUGUGUCCAUGCUUCACUUUUGUUAUGGAUCAUCCUUCCACGUACUUCAACAUUGACUGCAUGGAGCAGGUUUUUAGAUUUUGCACCAAACAUACUCAGAAUUAUGGGUCAGCCAAUUAAAUGAGAGUAGAAGAUAUAUAUAAUCAUAUUCUUGCUUCCUUCUGCACUUAGAUUAUAACUCUUUCCAAUCAAAUCCUAUAUCAUAUGACACCAGGAUGAAACCAAAUGUCGUCUUCUUCAAUGCACAAGAAGGAAGAUGGGGAAAUUUACAUUCAUCUUUCCCUUCUUUACAUCAUUGCUGAAGAGAGCUAUAAAUAUUUUAAUACUGGUUAACUAUGAAGACCAUCUCUUGUACUUCAAAAGCUGGUGAAACUGAUUCAUUCCUCAUCAUAGAUUGCAGACUGAAGAAGUUUCUGCGAAGAACAUGUGGGGUACUAUUAGAAUUACAAGAGGGGGUUAGCUUCAGGUUAACUUUGACAUUUGCCCGACUGCAUCAGUGUUUGCUAAAGGUGAUAUAUCAUCGCCAAUUGAUAAAGAGAGGGGGUUAUCUUCCUUGUCUUUUUUCAUCUAGAUGGCAUAGUAGGAACCAACAUGAAACAAAGAAACUAGAAUUUGCAAAAGCACAAAAAAUUCCUUGUGUAGAACCCAUUUUUAAGUUCAUUAGACUCCGUUACUAGCUUCAAAAGGGGCUAAUUAUACCACCACCAAUUUUGAAUCUACACAUUUUAUCACCGAAUUUUAAUUUUACUAUGGCUGCUGGAAAAGGUCGUACAGCUUAUAUUUCAACUCAUCUGCCUUGGAAAGUGGGGUUGUUUAUCCAAAUAUUGAUAUUUUUAUUGGAAAUUAUUGAAAUAUUGUUGGUUUUAUUGAUCUUUAUAAAAUCUCUUAGAAAUCAAUUUCCUAGCAAUUGACUUCUUCUUUCCCUAUGACAUUUGUUCUUUUUCAGCAAAUCUUCCUCUUCUCAAUUUCGAGGAAAUUGACUUCAAAGUUCAUUCCUAGAAGUUGUUUUUCCUAUCUUGUGAGAAUACCAAUUUAAACCAGCUAUAUUUGUUUAAUUUACGUAAAGAAAAAAUAGCAUGAUCGAGGUAAAUGAACCUUGGAUAUGUAUUUAAAUAUUUAUAUAUGGUCUCAAUAGUGCAACUUUUGGUAAAGUUACUUUUUAUUUUUAUUGCCUAGCCAAAAACCUUAUAGCAGACAUGAAAAUAUUGCAUGACCAUGAAAUCUGGAUUUCCUUUCAAACAAAAAAAUAUCUUGGGUGUAUUAUGCGUACAUGGCACAACAGAGAUGUUUAAGGCCAGAUUGCUUGCUUAGAGAAUUUACAAAGUUGCUAAAAUGAGUUCUCUUGUUCACCUCUUACUUCAGGAAUGGAUAUCUGUCACAUUAUUGAUGUUCUGAAUUAUCCUCUUCACUUGUCUCUGUUCUCUUCUUUCUUUUCAUAGUAGUACUCAAACUUGUCAAUUUUCCCUCUUUGUAAAGCCCAAAAGCUAUCUUUUUGCUAACCUUUACAGUAUUGUUUUUCAUUUUAAUGUGUUAGUUUUUACACUAGUGAUUAUAGAUACUCAUUACCAAUGGUCAAUUGCUUCUAUGAUUUUCUCUUAACAACCCAGGAGACAUUUGCCGAAACAGAUACAACAUGGGAUGUGGAUGAGGAAGAACCUUUGGACAAGAAUGACCAAUCUAAGUCUUCUCAUGCUGCACGUCGUGCUGCUAGAGCUCAUCAUAGGAGAAUGAAGCGUGAGUUUCUAUUUUAUGGCCUACUUUUUGAUGCCAUGCGGGGCAUUUGGUCUUAAUAGAGUCCUCUAUCUCUCUUUCAUUGUGUUGCUCUGUAGCAUACAUACAUCAUAGACAUCUUAUUAGGUUGCUCUGGAGCAUACAUACAUCAUAGACAUCUUAUUAGAUGUGAUGAAAAAGAGCUGUUGUUUGUACAAAAACAUGCUCUGUAUUAUCAACGAGUUUCACUUUGGACACAUUUUCCCCAUCUUGAGCGACUCUUUGUUUUCCUUGCAUUUGUAUUUUGUUUAGUUCUUCUUUUUUAGGAAGGGCGUUGCUUACAGGAAGCGUAUUGACAUUCCGACAAACUAACAACGUGCUGCUGUAUAAGUAAUUUUAUAAUAUUGUAAACACGAAACCAGCAGACUAGUAUUUUAUUGCUUGUUUAUCACAAUGGGUUUAAGGUGAUUGUCCUAAUGAAAGCAUGAUAGACCAUGAUAUUUACAGAAAAAUUUCGUAGUAUCUAUUCAUUCCUUUCUUGUUUAAAAUGAAGACCAAGCCCUUUCCAUUUUCUCAUGCUUAACAAUUUUCCUGCAUCUUCAGGUAAGUUAAGAAGAGAGAGAAAGCAUGAAGAUGUUGAUGAUCCAGAAAAUAUUUUCCAGGCAUCUUUUGGGAAAAGGUGGUGUAGUUGGUCUUAUUGGAGAGAGCCCUCUUAUCAGAGUUUGGCAACUGGAUUUGACUUUAGAGAACAUUCCAACUGGAGUUCUAGAAGACCCAGAGAAUCAGAUAUUGAAAGUGAGGCAGAGUCUGAUACUGAGCCUUGCAUUGACAGCACAAAUUCUGAUAGAAAAGUUCUUGGUUUGCCCCUGAAAGGUCCUCUGCAGAUUCAGGAUGUUAAGAAUGCGUGAGUUCUUCAAGAGAGAAGUACUCUAUGUUCAGUAUAAUUUACGAUUAGUAUACAUGUAUGUACAACUUGUUAAAUUGUUGAAAAUUUUCUUGAUGUAGUUUUCGCUUGUCAGCUCUCAAAUGGCAUCCCGAUAAGCAUCAAGGCCCUUCACAGGUAAGUUUAUUUCUUGUCUAUUGAUUGUCUAUUAUCACCCGAAAUAUGCACAUGCAUUACUUGUGUUUAUCGUGAAAGAAACAUGUCAUACUUGUGUGACAGAUUUAGCAUUGCUGUAAAUCAGAAACUGGAACAAAUUCAAUACAAUACAAAUUGGAAGAAGGUUGAGAUAGUCCCCUUUAGGUUUUUAGAAAGGGAGGGCCAGAGAGUGGGAGGAAAGAGGAAGCAAUAAAGGAUAAUUGGGCUGCGAGAAUCUAAGCUAAUGCUAAGAAGAGGAAAUUGUACAUUUACCUUGGGCUAUAUAUUUCUCAAGUUACUGCUAUGAGUAAUGAAACUCUGUUCAAUCAUUUUAGAUUGUUGUUGGUUUUGUCAUUUUUGAGUAUUAUUUCUUCUGUGGUUGUUAAUCUGGAAGAGAAGUUCCUUUAAGCCCUUCUUUACCCUUGUUGUGUGCAAUAUGGGCUCCCUGCAACAUGAUUAUCUACUCUGUUGCAGGUAGCAGCGGAAGAGAAGUUUAAACAGUGUGUAGACGCAUACAAGUCAUUGUGCAGCUCACUCUCAACAGCUUGAGCUUCAAAAUUUUCAGUCCAUUUUCCUCUCAAUUAUUGGGGAUGAUAGGUGGAAGAGACAGGUGGGUUCUUCCUUGUGUUUAGUUCUGACUGCCCUUUAAAGAAAGCCAAUUAAAUAUAGAAAAUAGGCAAUUAGUAUUUUAGUUCACCCACGAUACAAAGCUUCAUUGCUAGCAUUGUAACUUUUGUUUCUCACUAGAGUAAUAAAGAUGGUUGGCCAUUUUUGUGUCAACAAUAUUGUUAGGUGGAGUAAAGGUUGUAUCAUUAAUCUUUUGCUAGAAACCAACCAAAAGUCAAUUGGGAUCAAUCCACAAAAUAUAAAGUGCUUUUCUUCUCUUCUCUCUAAAGCAACUGGCAACUAAUUCAUGGUUGGAUAAGAUAUUGAGGGCUCUUGAUGGAGAAAAAUGACAUAUUGGUUAUGUUUUACAUUGACAAGUUCAUAUGAAUAACUCCCAAAGUAAAUGGUACAGAUUGCCUGAUUAGGUCUUAAACUCUUGAGGGAAUGAGAAAAUGUGGGUAUAAAAUGGACUGGUGAAGCAAAUGUACAGCUCAAGAUGUGUAAUAUCAGCAUGGGAGAAUGUUUUGCUUCUUCAGUCCAAAAUAUUCAGUGUGACAGCAGCUUGAAAGAGUGUCUACACAUUCUGUCCAAGUUCAACUUUAUUGGUUCAGAACAUGAAUAUGUUGCUUUCUUAAUGUUUAUCAUUAAUUACAACAGCAUACAUUAUACCUUUCCUCAGCUAUUGAAGCCUUUGGGCAUCAUGUUCCUCUGUUGAGGUGUUGCAACUUUAUGCAGCUGCAUUAUAUACCCAAUAUAUAAGCUGCAAUAGGCAGUGAAAUAUGUACAACAUAUGAAUAAAGUUUUAGAGCUGAGACAUAUUCAACUCUUAUGGGAUGCAAGUAUCUGUUGUAAAACCUCAAAACUGAAUCUCUACUUGGUAAUCUUAUUCCACAUGUCCUGGCACCUUUGGUAUUUGGUUAAAAAAAAAAAAAAAACUUUCAGCAGAUGACAGAAAUGCUAAUCCAUAUUUGAUCUUAGCAGAAGUCAGAAAUUUGUCUACGCUGCUCAGCAAUUUACUGUCAACUCAUAGAAGAUGACAGGAUGUUGUAUAUAUUGAAGUAAGUUUGAACUUGCCAAAAAGAAAUAAAAGGGAUGCUUGUAUCAAGAAAAUCUAAGAUGGGCAUUGAUACUUGGUAGCGGGAAAACAUGUGUAAUUAAUAUCAUAUUUACAUGAGAAAAUGGCCAUUUAAAAAUGCAUCUCAUAUUUACAUUGAAAAAGUUUCAUUUUGUCGUCAACCUUUUUAUUUUAACUGUGCCAAUGACAUUAUUGAUGUUAAUAUCAUACAUGUUUCUUGAAGUUUUGGUAUUGAGACUUCGCUAUCCAAACCUGAACAUUUCCAUCUGACUCGAAACAUUUUUUAUGUUGCCAUUCAAAAUUUAACACCAAAACCACAAAAUUUUUUUUUGAUAUAUAUAUAUAUAUAAGUAAAAGUUUGGAUGAAUUCGACUUAGGUGUCAAACAUAUAUCCGAAAGCACAUGUCACUUAUGGGGGGAUUUUAUAUAGAUCAUCAAUUAACAUAGUUUUCAUAUUGGUAGCGAAAUUCUCGAACACCACUCCCACCGUUUUUUAAGAAAUAAGAAAAUAAUCCGUCCUUGCUAAAUUGAACAAACUUGUGUUCGCAGUGCAAAAGUAACAAGGUCUGGUUUAAACUUGCACCUUUGGUUCAUUUAUGCUGCACCCAGACAUCAAUGAGCCUUUACAGACGAAUGGCCCAUCAAACCAAACCCCAUUUUUCAGUAAUUUCUCCUUCUACCCCACCAAAAAAAGUUUUUUCUUUUUCCAAGUAAUCAUUUUUAGCACAGAUGAUAUGAACAAAAAUUUUCGCAGCACUAAGCAAUAUAAAUGUGUAUUUAUAAAACAAAACAUUUCCACAGAAUCAGCCAAAGGAGGAAAAAAAAAAAGUAAUAACCAAAAUCCUAAAACAGAUAAAUAAUAAUGAUAAUAAUAAUAAUAAUAGAGGAAAGUUAAUUUUAGGCUCUACUGAAGCUAGAAGCAAAGAAGAACAACAGAGGAAGACACCACAAACCCAUAAAUCAAGAUCAAGAACCCAAAAUGCAGAGCCCAGUUUCUCUUAAACUUGCCAAAAUAACUCUCCGGUGGUUCUUGAUAAGGCACUUCCAAUUCAUCUCCAUACUCAUCAAUUACCCCACCACCACCUCCGCCGCCGGCGCAGCUGCUGAUUUUCAUCCUGAGCUGCCUGAGCCUGUCAGUAGCCAAGCCAAGAGUCAGCUUGUGACACCUCCUCUGAUACUUGAACCCAUUGAUGCACCUAAGAGUCUGAGCCACGGAAACAUAAAAGAUCAGAUGAGCUAAAGAAAGCAAUCCAAUGGGUACCCAACAAUGCCGGCAUUGGAGCCUUGGGGACUGGGAUUGAGCUAGGAAGACAAGACCCAAGAAAAGGAAGAAAAUUUGGAAUAGUUUCCAAAGCUCCUUUUUCUGGACGUCUACUGCUCUUUUCUUCUCGAGGGUCUUCUCGAAAUGGAGUUGGAUUAUGGUGUUUAGUGCUUGCAGGGCUGCUUCUUUUGGGAUGAGAUUGUGGUGGUGUGCGGCAGCUGUGGGGUCGUAUUCCGCCAUUGCUGGUGGAGCUGAGUGGUAGUAAAUUGGUUGUUUGCGGGAAGGGACGGCUGGGAGAUUUGUGGGCUGUGGCCAGUGGGGCUGUUUUGGGGUACGAACCAACUUGGCUGGAAUAUCAAAGGAUGCCAUGCUACGUGCAAAUAUAUUAUGUUAUUGUUUAUCAUUAUUAUUAUUUGGAAAAACCUCCCACAUACUAUUACUCCAAUUGCAGUUUACACCCUUAAAGAUUUUUGUAGGAACAUUUAUAUUGAUUCACAUCUUUUUCUAUGAAUUAAAUUAGCAAUUGACUUGAAGCGUGUGAGGUGCAAAUUCAAUCUCUGAAAAACAAUUUGAGCAUAAUGUGCCUCGUUUUUAACGACCCUCUGUUUUCUUUUUCAACAAAAUAAGUUACCAGUGCAUUUUUCGUGUUUUCUUUAACGAAAUAAGCUAUUCAUAUCUUCCUUCCACACAGACAUAAAAUUUACGACUAAAUCUCACAAAUGUUUAGAAAAAGGAAAGGCAAAACAAUAAAAAUAAAAAUAAAAACCAAAUAUAAAAAUCCGCUAACCUCUCUCUUUUUCCAAUUUACUUUCUUAUUUGGACAACAACAAUACAACCGACAAACUCUAUUAGUACACAUAUAGAAUCAUCCUUUCUUAUUCGUGUUUGGUUGAGGCCUUUUUGCAGAAAAAUUAGUAGGCACACAAUUAAGGAAUAGUUUUGAUGUCCUAAACAAAUUAUACCUUGCCCAUUUUUAGUCAAAAAAUUCAGAGGAAUAUUAAUUACAAAAUCAUAGGAAAAUGACUACAAUGCAAAAUAAACAACUUCAAGAAAACUAAGAAGAACAAGUGGUAAAACAUCCAUAAAUUGUUCUUAGAUUCUCAAAACUACAUAUUGGAAGAAUAAACAAUAUUAAAAGACAACCUCCAAGGCAAUAGUGGUGUCCCUCUUCUCCUACCAAAUCCUCUUCCACUCUUUCUAUUUUGGUUUUCUUCCAUUUCUUUUCUUUUUUUAUGGGAUUUUUUUUGAGGUUUUUUUUUUUGUCAUGAAGAGAGAUAGUUUGAUGAUUUAGCGUAAGUUAGUUAUUUCCUUGAUUCAUGAUGGAUGGUGGUCACGUUUGUGGAGGAAGGAGAUGGCUAGAGGCUUGAAUUAAGGUGAUGAAAAUGAUGAGAAUAGUGUUGUAAUACGUCAUUGGAGCAGUUUUUGAUUGUUUAUGAGAAGAAAGAAGAAUGAUCAAAUGAUGCAUUUUAACUAGCCAUUCAACCAAUAACAUGGAGGCCACACACCGGUAUUUUCAUCAACAAAAUGCACGGUCAAAUUAACACAUUAUUACCAUUAUUUUUUAAACUGAGUUGAGGGUGUAAACUGUAAAGUGCAUAUAAAAUCUUUGAAGGGAUAAUCUGUAACUUUGGUAACAGUCUGUGGAGUUCUUUUGCAAUUAACUCCUGUACAUUUUUUCCAUAGACUCCUGUACAUUGAGUUAUAAAUUUUUGAAAAAUGUAUUGUAUUGAUUUUUUCAACGGUAGGGAAAGGAAUGUGGGCCAUAAUGCAUUGAGAGUGGGUGUCAGUGUCAGGCGAAAGAACAGUACUGAAACGCAGAUCAAACCAAAUGCGGAGAGGAGACCAAAAAAAAAAAAAACAGAGAAUGGUGCUGGGUGCAGUCAAAGAAACCUGCAUGAAUUUCAAAAAUUUCUUUAUCGUUUUCUUCUUCUUUUGAGACCAGUCCAACGAGUCAAGUUCUUAUGGUUAUAGGCUAUAGGGACAAGAGACAUGUGAUAAUCAUUUAUCCGCUUGUUGAACGGGUGCUCGUAGCUACUCGUUAAAAUAUGUAUUUCGGAUGAUAUAUUUUUCAAACUAUAUUAUUAAUUAAAAAUUAAUAAGUAUACGUAAGGAUAGAUAAAAUUUAAUAAGAAAAGUAUAUAAAUAUAAAAGAGAAUAAUAAUUAUUAGUACGUGUAUAAAGAGUACUCCUUAGAAAAAUUCAAUUGUUCUUACCUACUUGGAGAAGUGGAGAGUAUCAGGAUAGAAAUGAAAUAGUGAAAUUUAAACUGCCAAUUUAGGAUGAGAAAAUUGAAUACAAGCCUGAACAGUUGUCAGUAAUAACCGCUCGAAAUAAUGUAAUAUUUUUUGGACAAAGUAUAAUUCUCCGUGAAUUAUUUAUAAAAGUUAACAACAGAGAUAUAAUUAUUACAUAUAAGAUCCACAUGAAUAGUAAAUAGAAUAUCCAUAUGAACAGUAAUAGAAUAUCAAACAUCUAUUAUAUAUAAUAGAUAGAUAAAAUUUUUUUAUAAAAUUACAAAAUAUACAAAAAAAAAAUAUUACACUAUUCAAGUCCUUCCCCGCCUAUGAGAAAAUCAGUUGGAUUCUUGAUUAUGCAAGUCAUAGUUGUCAUUACUUUUGGCACGUUUUCACAGUUGCAUUAUUGUUUGUACACUUUCAUCAUUGCAAAGUCCAUUGGAAGUAUAUUCGCAUUUACAACGAAUUUUGACUAUUUGUGCCGCAGCCCAUAUCCGUUGGCUUUUUCUAAUGUUCAAAUUUUGAGUAAGGAGAAGAUAUUAAGGUACAUGUCAUGCAUUAUAUAACAAAUUAUACUUGAUAUGGAAGAUAUUCUUAGAGUUUCAAUAUUGUGAUUAAGUUUAUCAUUUUUUAGAUUUGUUGUUUCAAAUCUAUGUAUGUACGUUAAGUUGAUUUUAAAAUAUAUGUUUCAAUAUAUUGUUUGAUGUACUUACUGUCAUGAGUGCAGAUAUUGGAAUGAAAUCAUCCUUUUUAUCUAAAAAAAAAAAAAAAUUAUGCAAACAGUUCGUUUAACUAAUUAGUCAUGUUAUUAAUUAAAUCUAAUCCUUUUUCAACGAAAAAAGGUGAUGUUUAUUAAAAUUUGACAUGAUAACUAGCAUCCAAUUUUACUUUGGAUGCAAAAUUAAUAUGAGGUUUCUUGGCCCCUUGAAAUGAUGAACCGGAAGUGAAAAAGGAUUCUUUCCUAAGUGACCCGAAAAAAGUUUUUUUUUUUUUGGUGAUCUGAUUUUGAAAAGCAGUGAAAGUGUAAAAAAUGUUCAUCAUUGCUUGGCCGAACCUCCAACUUUGCCGAGGCAGGGUUAUAGGAAUCCUAUCGUUAUAGGAGUCCCCUCCUUCUCCCCUAGAUUAGAUUAGAUUAGGUUAUAUAAAUCCUAUCGUUGCGAUAAAAAAAAAAAAGUAAACAACGGGUGAAACUCGGGCCGUUAUAUCCGGCUUCGGAGUGAACUCUAUUGCUUAAGCCUUAAAGUAUCUACUGGAUCCAUUCAAAUCCGGGUCACAUUAUUGCAUUCUCAAACUGGCAAACUUUUUUUUUGGGGUAAGUAAGAAUUUAUUAGCAACUAAGAACCAAAAUAACAUACAAAAUACGUUUCAAAUCAAUAACUCUUACUUACACAACUUAUAUAUGAUGCUGAUGCUAAUUCCACAACGGUCUGAGAUACUUUGUGUACUGAAUGCAAAUGGAGUAGCAGCAACUAACACUAAAAUUUCAACUUGAAUAAAUGUUCGUUGGUAACAACCCAAAAACCUUUGUAAUCAUCUAUUAGUAUCUGUCUUCUUGACUUUUUUGAAAGAGGACAAUCUGCAUUUGACUGCCUCAAGGAUCUCUUCUUGAAUAACUUUUUGUAUCCCUGCAUUCAUUUUCGAAUUGCCUUGCAUUCCUUUCUUUCCAAAUGCAAUAAACAACAGCUACUAACAAAACUCUGCCUUGGGUUUUAGCAAGAGAUUUGCCUUUUAAGUUAAUUCCAAUCCAGUCAAUCAAUUUGCUCCAAUUGGUCUGAGGCCAUUGGACAGCACAUUUGGAUUUGAAAAAACUCCAAAUACUAUUAGUCACAGAGCAAUCAAAAGACAAAUGACUUGGUUUUUGAGGACGACCAUCCCAGCUCGGCUAUACCGAGUUCAAUCCUUUAUUAUUUGAGACGGGUCGCCACCAGUUUUGGUCACCCCGGCUAGAUAUCACGUGCGGGUAACCGAGGUAACUCCCACACCCACUGGUACCUCGAAUUGGUGCUGUGCUUGACACGACAUCCGAGGUCUUAUCUAAGAACCUAACAUUUGCAUGACGGACAAGACAUUUGACGAGACUUGUCUACAGCUCCGUCCUGUCAAAUCGGACUGGACACGCUCAGUCCCUGCCAGGUCUUAGGGAGUUGGAGCCCAUUAUUCCUUCCUCCAACUUGUCCCCUAUAAAUACCACUCUCCCUCAUUCAGAAAAGGAAGGAGGAGAAAGAUAGUAAGAACUCUAUUAUUUUCAUUUCCAUUACUCAUUUACCGGUAAACUAACUUAAUCAUUGGAGUUAUUCCGGGGAAAAAAACCCCGUUUAGUGUGUGUAUCAGGAAGAGUACAUCACCAAGUCCCUUCGUUCAGGAAGAGGACGUAUUAGGUCAGCUCGACUUGACCGUCCAAAAAUCACCUCUUCAGUUUUCAAUGUGAAGUCUACAGAACGUGCAACUCACAUUGGAGACAAUUCCCCAACUAAUUAGUCUAUCUUGAGUUGAGAAUCUUUGCUGGAUAAUCAACCAUAGUAUGAAUGCAUAUCUUGGUAUGGUAUUUGCCCACACAACCUUUGCCCAAGAAGAAGAAGGCCGUCUAAUUCUCAAUGUUUCCCAAGUUUGCUGGAUAGAAAACUCAGACUUGCCCCACAAACUCUUAUCUUUCCUGACGAGGUUUAGCUUCAGACUAGGUGGAAUAGAGGAAAUUACCUCAUGACAUAGCCAAUAAUGCCUACCAUGGCAAUUCAGCCAUCUCCAAUGUUCCCCGAAAAUAAUAUCACUGACCAUGAAUACAUCACUUUUAGAUAGAUUUCUUACCCAAACUUGAUAGCUGAAUGAAUGCAUCACUCUUAGACAUACAUAUUGAACCUCCGGGAAGCCAAUUAUCAUACCAUAGUGAUGUAUCUCUACUAUCUCCAAUCACAUGAAAAAAGUGAUUUGUCACUCUAUCUCUCAGUUUUAAUAAUUUCCUCCAUAUCCAAGAACAAUCAUAGGAUAUUUUUAUGGUCCAAAUACUCCUACCUUUCAAGAGAUAAGAAAAAACCCAAGUUAUCCAAAAAGACGAAUUGUCUCACUUCAAGAUCUCCACAGCAAUUUGCAAAUAGCUGCAGGAUUCCAUUCUUCAAUUCUCUUCACCCCAGCAAUUUGCAAAUAGCUGCAGGAUUCCAUUCUUCAAUUCUCUUCAACCCCAGGUUGCCUUCUUUUUUUGGGAUGCAAAUAUCCUCUAAAGCUACCUUAGCACCAGAAUGCUUAAGAUCCUUGCCCUUCCAAGGGAAAGAUCUCAACACACUCUCCACUUGUUUAAUGAUUUUUUUUUGGCAGGACAAAAGGACUUGAUCAAUAAACUUGCAUGAAAAACAGAACAGAAUUGAUAAGCUGGACUCUACCUGACCAAUAUACUUUUAAGUAUCGUGUUUGAGCAAAGAAUAUAAUUGACAUUCAUUGGUUUCUAAGGCUUUUUGCAGUAUUUUUAUAUUCAAAUCCUGAUCGAAUUCGAAGAGAAAAGUCUUGAUUUGACUCAUUUGCUAUAUCGAAUAAGUAGAUCCAGGUCCAAUCCGGGUAAUCAGAAUUGAGGGAACGCCAUGAAAGUCCAUCCACUUAGAUAUUAUACUUUUAGCUUUUGACUUACUUUCUUUUGUGUCCCAGCAACAAAAUUAAAAUGCCUAUUUUUUUUUUUAAAAUAAAGUUACGACUAACUCAAUGCUGACCGUUUAAGCUGGUUUAAUUUGAUGUUUUAAGGGAGUAAAACUGACCAACCUCAUAAGCUUGUUUUCAGUUGUUUUCGAUUCUUAAUAGCAGAGUCAAAAUUCGAAAGUAACUAUUUGGUACUUAUGAUUUUCAAUUUUUUGGAUUAAAAAGAAAAACUAAAAUCGAGUUUUGGGAAACAAUUGAGAGUAGAAAUUAGUUGACAUUUUUGGAAUAAAAAAAAACUAAAAUCAAGUGUGCAAAAUGAUUGGAGAACAGUGUAGCUAUAUUUAUGUGCACUUCUUUAGCUGGCUCCACACCUUGGAAGUCACCCUACUCACAACAUAUUAAGGGCAAAACUUUGAGAAAAGAAAUGCAUUCGUUUACGAUUGCGUACGAGUUGAAUGAAGUCAAGUUUUGAUUAAGCGAGCCGAAAUGAACCCAUUUUACUAUGUUCAACAUGGAAAUUAAAUACUAUCAUCAAUAAGCACCUUGUAGAACUUCGAAGAAAUCAAGAGUAAUACUGAUCAAGAAAGUUUCGACUUACUUCACUGCUAUUGAAACAGAAAUCAAUUACUAAAUCCAAAAGACAAAAAUUGAAAUAUACCAUUCUACUACCAAAGCUUAUAUAUAUGUGUGUGUGUAGCCUUAUUCUGCAGAUCUAUUGGUGUUCGGUAGAAAUUGCCUCGAGAGUUUGAGCUCUCAACUACCAUUUUCAGCAAACUCAAGAAACCUCUUCCUAUGUUCAAGUGUUAAUAAACACUAAUUCAAUGUAUGAAAACACUUAUAUCCAUAAGUGCGCACCACAACAAUCAUACUAAUUAUAUCAAAAGUUACCGGAAGGCGCCCCAAUCCCAACAAAUAUAAGGCAAAGUGAAAGAGAAAGGAUGCAACAUCUUAUACCAUUCAUCAUAUGGGUAUUCUGGAUUUUGAGGUGAUAUUGAGAUGGCCCAAUAUUUGAACUUGAAUUAUUAUAUAGUCCAUCAUUAACAACUUGUACAUGAUUUUCAAUGCAAUAUGUAGGUUCCGCAAUAUAGUGAUCUAUAUUUACCGUACUAUCUUCAGUAUGAUUUACAUUAGGCAGCAAAACUCAUGAAUUGGCCCGGUCUGCUUGAGCUCCAUCAACGUCAAGCUCAAGCAGCUUGAACUAGCCUUAAAGUUGAGUUUGAAUCCAAAUAUACUUGAUUUAAAGGUUUGUCGAACCUAAUAGUAUAAAAUUAGACGCAAGCCGCAAACUUGAAUUUGACUAAAUUCAAAUUUGAGCUCAAAUUUAAGUUUGAAUUUUACUAGGAGUUGACUCAAGUUCAAGCCUGGUAAAAUUAAAUUGAGUUUGUCCGAUUAACCAGAUUCAUUGCCAACUCUAACCAAUGGUGUUUCAGUUCUUUAAAACAAGCUUAACAGUUUGGCACUGUUGCACCCUUUAGUCGUCGUGGUCAACCUCUCUGCACUCUGUGCCGGUUGACUUAGGGGUUUUUUUUUUCUUGGGUAGAAAAGGAGGAGACUCAAUUGACUUUGGGUCUUGGCACUUUGUGCCCGUUGACUUGGGUCACUAUUGUUCUGUUCUAAAGCAAUUCAUUUUGAUGCUGUCAGACUGUUUUUCUUCUUUCACGAACCCCUAUCUAGAAAUCAAAAUUGUGAUUGGUUGUAACUUGUAACUAUGGCUGUGGGCCUUUUCUUUUUAAAGCUAACUGUCGCUGUGAGUUUAAAAGGAAUGAAAAAAAUAAACGCACUAUAAUAAUAUUAAUCUAGUGGCCGCGUAAAUUAGAGAUUUUGAAUUCAAAUCCCUCUUUUCCUCGUAAUUUUUUAAAUCUCACCUCUCAUUUGUCAAAAAAAAAAAAGUAAAUUUUGUAUUCUGCUGUCUACUGCGUGUAUUUACUAUUGUCUCCUUCAGAUAAAGAAACUAGUAGUAAAAUAAACUCCAGAACGAUAUGUUGUGGUUAACAGCGUUUUCAUGGAUUGACUUUGGUCCAGCCUUCUUAAUAGAAACUGGAAGACAUUGUGGUAGAUGGUAGAUGAUGAUGAUGAAAGAAAUACACAAAAAGAUGUAACAUUAAAACCGAAGAUACCUAAACGAGAACAAGGGGAUCCACCUUCUUCUCUUUCAUGAGGCUGAGAUUGCAGGAAUAGGUCAAUCCUAACUGGAUUAGACUUUGUGUGAUCCCAAUUUCGGAAGGUCCAGUUGUAUCGUCCCCACUGAUGUGUGAAAGUCAAAGUUUUCGGGCAUUUGAUCUUUGUUGCAGAACAUGCUUAGCAAACAAAUUGUGGUUGUUUACUUGUUGCAUGUGCAUGAUCAAGAUGUAUCGUGAUUGUGUUGUUGUUUAGCACAUUUUUUCAAGCCUUGGUAACUUUUUGUGUUUUCUUGAUGCAGUUAGUAAAGAGAACAAGCAAAUUUUCUUUAUUUAAGUUGUCUUUUUUUUCAAUAACAAUAGAAUAAAUUUACAUUACUUCAAACACUAGAAUCAUUAUGUAAGUUGCUGUCCUUUGAGUUCCAGUUUUUAAUUUGAAUUGCAAAAGCUUUUUUAGUUUGUGUUUUUAUUCUUAUUGAAUCCACGACAAUCUCUUCUAGUUAUAACUUAUAACCACUCCUGAUUUAAAGAUUACAAACGAGUUCAGUCGAAUUGAAAUUUAAUCUAAUCGAGUUGAGCUCAAUUUAAUUUUAUCAAACUCGAAUUCGAUGAGCUUUCAGUGUAAAGGUCGAGUUCGAGUUUGAACUCAGUUUCAAUCUAGUCGAGCUUAAAAAAUUAUUAUUUUUAUGUUUUAAAAAUAGAUAGAAAUGGACAUUUCACGCUAAUAAAUAAUAGAAAUAUUAGGGACAUGAAUGUAAUUUCACUACUAAUAAAGUAAGAAUAAAAAAUUAAAAAUAUAUUCAAGUCGGCUCAACUCAAUAAGCUUGUCCAACUAGUUCAAGUAGUUUUGAUCAAACCGGCUCGAUUGUUUUGCGGCCCUACUCUUAUAGUAGCAUCAUGUUUAGUGUCUGAUGUCUUGGGAGUCACAUGGAUAAAAUUUUGAUAUGUUACCUUCAAAUAUUUGAGAUCUGAUUGAAGCGAGAGUUCGAUAUGUCUAAAAUCUAGAUAAGCAAAGAUGUUUGAUAUGUCUAAAAUCUAGAAAUAAGCAAAGAUGUUAAGUAGGCAGUUUACUUACUCACAUCCAAAUACAAUUAGUGAUUGACAAUUACAUGUAAAUUUCAAAAUUACAGCGUUUGUGACUUCGCUAAAACCCAAAGAUAGAAUAGAAGCAACUCCCAUUGUCCCCUAUCUAGAGCAUCACCCAUGUGGUUUUCCCCUGAUCAGGGGAAAUUGUAACAUUGUUGAGUAGAAAGACAUAAACUAUACUGAAUGGUCCAUUUCCUCUUCGGUUUGGAUAUACACAUUCAGUUGUUGAUCACCCUACAGUUGGCCCGAAUCUCUCCAGCAUCUCCAGUCAGGACACCAAUCUGACCCAUUCUGACCAUUGCAUCAGCAAACUUAUUUUGCCAAAGAAGAGGGUUUUGAGCAUUUUGAAUCACUUGAUUUGCAGUUGAGGGAUUUGCCAAAAGAGUUUGGUCGGAAGUGAACAAGCCUCUGUUGGCUAGAAUGUUAUCAUAGUAACAUGUAUCCAUAAUGGUUGGGGUGGAAGGGUCCAUUGGCACCACUAAGUUAGGAUUGCUUAUGCUCCCUUGAGGGCACUGCUGUGCUAGCUGAGCUGCAUAUGAUGGAUCCAUACUCGGAUCCUGUGUCGUCGUGGUGUUGAAGUUGAAUAGUCUGUUGCUGAAUGAAAUGCAAUGUGAUCGCCCAAUGGUGUGUGCUCCUGAUCAAGUAAAAGUUAAACUUUCAAAUCAUAUACCUCAAUUAUACAUCGUGUGCUUUUCGGUUAUGUUGAAAUUGAUGUCCCAUGUCUUACCUGAAAGCGUUACCAUUUCAUCAGGCCGAAGUCCCUUAUUUGCAAAUGCUUGAAUGAGUUGGUUGACACCAAGGGCAGGAGAUGGCAAGUUUGCUGAUGCCUCUCUGGAUGAUGAGAUUCUGCCGUCUCUUCUUCCUGCAGGAACAUCGUAGCCAGGCCCUCCUGUCUGCAGGAAAAUACAAAUUUCAUGUUCUGUGCUUUAGGAUGACCAAAUAUGAAAGCUGAAGAAGAAUUAUAGGUCUCACUAUUUCCACACUGUCCCUUGCUGCAUAAGCAAGUAUAUCAGCACAUGAGACGAUUCCUGGACAUAAGAAUUCGAGUCUACUUUUUGCAUCGUCAAUGACUUCAAAGCCUCGAAGACUAGGAUUAUUUGCUGGUGCAUCUUUCUCUGCUUGAUUUGAAGGAGUGGAAUCAAUAAGCACCGAUCCGUCACAUCCCUGUAGAACAACAAAGAAGACAGACUAAAGGUUAUGAAUCCGGGAUCCAAAACAUGAUCACUGUCAUUAGCUGAGGAGAUAAUUCGCUUUCUAACAAUCCAAGUAUCUUGCGAAAGUAAAGUUCAAGUUAGCGAUCAUUGAUCAACUUACUAAUUCAAACAGCUCUAGUUUGUCAAAUGCCGAAUUUUGAAACUUAAAUGCUGGAAAGGAUUAAGUGACAAUCAGCUCUACUCACCCGAACAAAACAAUCGUGGAAAUGCAUCCUAACUAGGCCUGCAGCGACUCCCCUGUCAAGAAUGAACGCAUCCCUUACUUCUUCUUUGAUCAUAGAUUCUACAAAGUCACACACUCCAUUAUAAAACCCCACUUGGAGCUGAGCAUUUAAGGGAAUUACACAUUGGUAUACCACUAGAAUAAAAGUUGACAAUAUAAAACUUAGCUUAUUUGAGGCCAUUAUUGCUGUGUCUGCAGGGUUAUUGGUCUCAUAAUUCAGAUACUUAUAGGGAAUUUAGUACAGUAUCAUGCUAAUUACUAUUUACGUAAUUUGGGCUAAUCAGCCUAUAGUAUUUUUAAUCUUAUAAUGCGAUGUUAAAAGGCAGUAAGCUGUAAAGUCGCUUUUCCUUGGUUACAUGAAAAUCAGCAAAAGUGUUCUUAUUGAGAAGAAGAUGCAAAACAACUGGAGUGGGGUCUGACCACAAUUACUCGUAUAUCUUCCUGUUAAUACUAUGCUAGAUCCUAAAGGCCCUGUAAAGGGGGGCUGUUUAAAAAGGUUUAUGCAUCAGCUAUUUAUCAAGUCCAAUUGUGUUGACUUCCAUGAGAAAAAUCCAAGGAUAGUGGUUAAAGAUGGAAAGUUCUUAUCCAUUCAAGAUCCUGAGCACGUACAUUGUUUAAAGCUCACUGAUUAAAUCGCAUUUUGGAUUUUGUGCUUUCUAUCUAGCAUGCAACAGGACUUGAUUGGGAGCAUUCUAUGAUCUCAUUUACAACUUUGUGGUGUCAAGUGGUCCUAUCUUGUUGACUUUUUCCUUCUUCUUCUGAAGUAUUAAAUUGAGCAAUUGUUGGUGGGAUUUAGUUGAGCAGGUUAAUUUAUCUAUUAUUGAAGAUAAAUAGCCUUGCUCUGAUUCCUGAUGAACAACGCAAAUCUGCAGAGAUCUGCUGGAGGCAAAAAUCAUGCAGGAUAAUGACGCUUGCUUAUGUGAAAAUAAUGAUCACAUGCAUAAUACAACUGCACAAUGACGGCUACUUGAUUGAAAAGGAUGAGUCGUAUUGUUAAUUCAAUUUGAUAGACCAUUAACAUGAAUGCCGUGUAACGCGAGUUCGUGAUUAGAUCUUCUGAAGACCACCAUCCCUAAGUUUAUCAUCUACAAACGACCAGACCAAAAGAAUGAAGUCUGCGAAUUUCUUUUUCAAUUUCCACAAGGGGGAUUGUUGAGAUAUGCCACUUCUUUGCACAACCCUCUAAAUUCUUUUGAUACGAGAAUAAUUUAGUUAGUUGUUGAAUAAAUAUAGUUGUUAGAAUAUUUAUUAACAGAAAAUCAUGUUGAGUUAUUAACAAAUAUUUUUGCUAAGAUUUGUUAAGUAGAAGAUUAUCUUAAUUUGCUAGUAAGUAGUUUUGUUGAGAUUUUUAUGAAGAAUUGUUAACUAAAAAUUAUGUUAGUUUGUUGUUUGUAAACACUAUAAAUGGUGAUUUGAUGAAUGAGGAACAAAAGCUCAAUUUCACCCCACAAUGCAAGUGUUACUCAACUAUUGUGUUGCAACACUAAGUCUAAGACUUAGUGUUGUUUCUACCCUAAAUUCCAAUAAAGUAGAAUCAAGAGUCUAAGCCUUAAGGGAUUGUGUGUGUCUUUCUUGAGAGUGAGUGAAGGAUCCCUUUUCCGGUGUGAAACUAAAUACUUAUGGCUUGUGAAAAUUGCAAAGAAAGCUUGAGAUGCUUUCAAAGGGACUUUCUAAGGCAAUAAUAGAACAAGGCAAAUGCAAAUCUUGAAUUUUAGGAGGACAAAUAAGCUUGGAUGGUUGUCAACAAAAGGAGGGCCAAUUUUUCGUGGCUACUUAUUUUGCAAGCAAUAAUUCCAGUGCUAAAACUUGAUUAAUAGUUGGUGGUUAGUGGUUACACUCAUUGCAUGGGAUAUGAUGAAUCGAUAUUUUGAAAACUUGACAAAUCACAUAUCUCCAAAAUCAGAAUUGGAAGAAAAGCUUAUAUUGAUGUGAAAGGCAGAUGUAGUGUUGCUGUUAAUUAUGGUUCAUGUACCAAAAUUAUUUCUGAUGUAUGUUUUGUGUAUAUCUAAAAUUAAUCAAAAUUUGUUGAAUAUUGGACAGUUGUUGGAGAGGAAUUAUUCUAUCAUCAUCAAAAAUAGAACUUGUGUUAUCUAUGAUCCAUGAGCUUCUCUCAGUAAAAAUGAGAGGAAGAAAUUUUUCUUUGAAUUUGUCAAAAAUUGGCAAUUCUAAGGUAUAGCACAGUGACCCCAAAAAUUUAGAAAUUGAUAAAAUUCAGAAAGUGAUCAUUGAUUAGCCAAUCAAAAGAGUUUAUGUUGUGAAGAUUCAUGAAAAGAUAUCUAAAGAUGAUGGUGGUGACAAAUUAUCGAAUAGCCAUAAAAAAAUUUGAAGGAUUGUUUUGUCUCUCAUAAUAAUUAUUUUGUAGGUUGCGAAUUUCUUACACAAAUUUAUCUACUAUAUACAUAGAAAUUAUUUAGAUACGUCAAGGAUAUUAUCACUGAUUUUGAAGUUUGGCCCAAUAAAUCCAAAGAAUAGUUCAUUAGCUUGCAAACAUUUUUACAAAGGAUUCAUCAAAAAAAAAAAUAAUGUUUGAAGACUUAAAAACAGUUGGGGGCCUAUUGCAAAAGUAGCAAGGAGUAAUGCUAAGAUAAGUCACUUCUUAGCUUUUUCCAGAUUCUUUUAUUAUUAGAAUAAUUUAGGUAGUUGUUGAAUAAAUAUAGUUGUUAAGAUAUUUGUUAAUAGAAAAUCAUGUUGAAUAGUUAACAAAUAUUUUUGUUAGUAAAAUUUAUUAAGUAUAAGACUAUGAUAAUUUGUUAGCAACUAGUUUUAUUGAGAUUUUUAUGGAGAAUUGUUAGUUGGAAAUUAUGUUAGUUUGUUACCUGUGAACAUUAUAAAUAGUUAGUCAAUGAAUGAAGAAUAAAAGCUGAUUUCCACCCCUCAAUACAAAUCUUAGUGAGCUAUUUUUUUCAACACUAAGUAUUUGUCUAGCAGUCUAUGCUGUAAAACCCAACAGGCAUUUUGUUUAAGGACUAAUUACUCAGUUCCACUGUUGUUACAUUUUUUGCCAUCAGUCAAUUCCACUGUUGUUACAAUUUUGCAAUGCAUGGCUGCCUUCUUUGUUUUCCAUUUCCAUUGGCAAAUAGCUGCAGUUCUUCUAAGAAGUCAAAAUUGUAUAGCAAGUUCAAAAUUUUAUAGGCAAGUUACAAUUUGGCAGUCAAAUCCCUCUCAUCUUUGCCAUUUCAGCCCCAUGCUCUGCAAGUGACAGAGUUCCCUGAAUGGUUGCAUCAGUACAAAGGAGCCUAAGAAUUUAGAUCAAUUAACUGAGAUGAUGAUGAAUGGGACUCUUUUCAUCUUUCCAGGGGGAUCUGUUAAUUAAAGAUUACCUGAUACAGCAUGAUUUUGAUGCCUGAUGCAGUCGAGAUUUCGUGAAAGAAAAAAAAAAAUCCAUGAGUGGGAGGAAUAGUAGGGGAGAAGAAAAAGCACUCUUGUUACUUGGAGAAAUGAACUGGGAAGCAGGCUGCAGUUGGAGGUACAAUUCAGAAUAUAACAAAGUAUUGAAACUUUUGUUUUUUUUUUUUUAUUCUCAUUAUGUUUUCUCCCUCCUGAAGGCUUCAAGAAACACACCUUCUUCUCCUUGCUAUGUGGAAUGAUAGUAAUUCAAUCAAACAAAAGGGUCCAAUUAGAAAUGAAAAUAACUUCUUGCUAAAUCCUGAUAAAUGGAUAUCCCCUAACAUGUUUACGGUGGGGGGUUUUGGCAGUUGAGGUCAAGAUCAAAGCUUUAAGGAUUUAUGACCCUGCAGUUGGAUCGAAUUUCUCCAGCAGUUCCAGUAAGAACCUCAAUCUGACUCAUCUUUACCAUUGCAUCAGCAAAAUCUUCCUGCCAUUCUCGCUCGUUGAAUGCAUAUUCUCUGACUUCUGAAAGACUCUCUGGGCUGGUGAUGAGGGUCUGGUCGGAUGUGAGAACAACACGGUGUGCCAAGAUGUCCCUGUAAUAGCUAUUCUCGAAAAGAGCUGGACUCCUAUUCAUCGGCACCACCAAGUUAGGAUCAACAUCUCCUUGAGGGCCUUGAGGGCAUUGUAUCUUCAGUAGUGCAGCCAAGAAGCGGUCCAAGCUCGGAUCUUGACUGUUUGCUGGGCUGAAAUCGUAUAACCUAUUGCUGAAUGAUGUGCAAUGAGAGCGACCAAUUGUAUGCGCCCCUGUACACAAACAAAAUUCUUAGCAUGUUACUUAUGAACAAAUAGAUUAUGCAAAACCAAAAUAAAUCAGAAUUCAGACUUGAGCUUCACCUGAAAGUGCAAUCAUCUCAUCUUGGGUCAUAUUCUUCUUAGCAAAAGCCUGAGUGAUUUGAUCUAAAUUUUGAAAGGGUCCAGGAAUGUCUAUAGUCUCUGCAGCACGUGAGAUACGUCCAUCUCGCCUGCCUGCUGGAACACCCCAUCCGCGGCCUCCAGUCUGCAUAAUAUUCCCAGACAAAACAAGAAGUGCUUUUCAUUUUCUAGUCGAACAAAUCAGUAUGUGGUAGCAUCCAAUUUAACAAUUUUCUCAUGUAUCAACCAGCCAAAAAAUCUAUUACUAUUGCUUUUCUUUAGACAUUGUUGGUGUUUCACUCACAAUCACGACAGAGUCUCUGGCUGCAUAUGCUAAUAUAUCAGCACAGGACACAACUCCUUUGCAUUCUGCUUCAAGUCUGGCCUUGGCAUUGUCAACUACUUCCAGACCGCGAAGAGUGAUGCCAUUUGGAGGACCGUCCUUCUCUGCUACGUUUGUUGGUGUUGAAUCAAUGAAUAAGGAGCCAUCGCAACCCUGAAAGCCUUGUUAAAUUAGUACUAAUUGCUUGUUUAUGUCAUAGACUUUGCAUACUUUUUGUGACAAGAUGAAAACCUGAAACAAACUAGUUUCCUUGAAAAAACUUGACACUUGGGAGGCAUUACCCGAACAAAGCAAUCGUGGAAAUGAGCUCUGACGAGACCAGGAGCAAUUCCUUUAUCUUUGAGAAAGGCUUUGAGGACUUCUUCCCCUAUGAUUGAUUCUGUGCGAGGACAUCUACUGUUGUAGAAUCCCACUACUAGUUGUGCCUUAAUUUGAGAACUCAGGCAUAAAACAGUUGCUAACAGUGUAGCCAGCAGUGCCAUUUUUUGUUCUUGACACUGAUAGUGGUAUGCUUGAUAGUGAUAUGCAUCUAUGUUACUACAAGAGUUAUAUAAAGAAAUCCAUCUCCAUCACCAGGAAAACUAGCAAUUUCCAAGGCAAUAACGGCUUCAAAACAGAUAGCACUGGAAACAAGAGGAAAUGCCAAAUUUCGAGUUAAGUCCAUUCUUCACUCACGGUUAGAAGGUGUGGCCUAGAUCCCUAUUUCAUGCUUGCUUAGAAAGGAGAUUCAUUUCCCAUGACAAUAAAGAAUGAUUUGCAUAUGAUCUUAAAUGACUCUCAUUUACUAGUUACUGGACUGGCCAAUUCCUUGUUUUCAUCACAGACAUGCAGAAAUCCUAGUUGUAUAAGCUCUAACCCCAGUUUUUAAAGCUGCAAUUUCUUUAUUUAAUUUCUUGUUUGCUACUCAGAUGUUUAUCAUUCAACUUUUCUUAGUUUCAACUGAAAUGCAAGAAUUAUGGCAAAGAAUGACUGUCUUCUUGUUCUCUUUUUCCCUGCGAGAAAAGAAGGCUUUGAUAGGGCAAUUUAACGUAACAUAGUGGUUGACUAAAUAUUUUUUUCUAAUAUGCAUGCAAGCAAUAGACUAUUGCCGCAAUAGUAUGCUGAAGAUGAAGAACUUUUCAUUCAAGCACUUUAUCUUCAAUUCUCAAUUCUCCUGUCACCAUUAAUCAAAUUUUGCAUAUACACACUUGAUUGACAAUAUAACAGUCCAAUAGUUGAUGGAUUUUUAUUCUUGUAUAAUAAUUCAUUUUCCACUUCCUUUCCUCUCCCCUUUCUUGCUUUCUCAUACUAAAUGGAGGUGAUGUUAGCACUCUCUUUGAACCUUUUUCAUUUAUAUGAAAAGACAAGCAUAUCUCUAUAUUUCAUCGAAUUAUAACAUGGAGAAAGUGGAUGGUUUUAAGUUUAACUAAAAUUAUAUGGAUAUUUGUGAAAUUUUUCAUGUGAUUACAAAAAUCGAUAAAAGUGUUAUUGACAAAUAUAACAGUGCCACUAACAAUUUCUUUGUUCUGCUUUUAUAUGUUAUUAUCUUAGUCCAUAUAUUGUUAUUUCAAGGGUUUUUAACAGGUCUGCGAUGCGAUGUCCUUAGAUGUUCUGAGCCGCACAAAAAGAAAAAAUUGUUAUCUUAAUGUUUACACCUUGUGAAUACAUUGGCAAUCCACAUGAUUUGACCGCAUAAUUCAGCAAAUCUGCAAAAGAAAAUCGAUCUGGUCACGAAGGGCUGCCGAUUUUUAGGGAUUGGGACAUCCAAGUUGUUGAACUUUAACUUCAUCAAGUAUAUUUGAUGACCCAUAUGAUUUUUUUGUCUCCAUGACUCCAUGCUGUUCGUUUCUUUUGAUAUAUAUAGUAAUUGCAUCAACAGAUAGCUAAAACCAAAUUCAAAGUUUUUUUUUUCUUUUUUGGUCCCUAUCUUUCGUGUGAACCUCUAAUUUGUCAUCUGAUUGCGUUUUAUUCUUGCAAUCGAAGAAAAUCAUUGAUUUCAAACUUCAUACCAGAGAUUUCAAAGAAGAAUUUAUUUCGAUUUUAAUUCCACUAAUUUGAGAUGUUUUUAGCUCCCCACUGCGUCAGAUAGGCCUGAGACGCUCAAUGGAAUCAUGUGUUGCUGGAAUCUUUUGUUUAACACUGCUGUAACUCUUCAACAACCACCUCUCUAGGUCCUGUAAUUGCUGUCCAAUCUACUUCUUUGAUACAGACAUCAAAAGCCCAACCUUCUCAAAUUCCCAGUCUACUCUUCAGGUAACAAUAAUGAGUGUAAUUUCUGAUAUUCUUGCUCCCUGCUUCAUACUCUUAUCUCCAAACCCAUACUACUGUUUGUAUAUUUAUAGCAACUUGAGAUACACAUGAGCGGACAAAGUAAUACACAGCAUGCUUGAACAAAAGAUGGGGUACCACAUCAACCAUUGACUGAAACAGGUAUUAACCAAUGAUGCUUGGCCACCUAGUUUAUUAAAUAGCAGAAAGAAACAUCAACAAUCAACUCUCAACUUCUAUUACAAGACAUACAAUGUAAAAUUCAGGAACAAAACUGCAUUAGCACUCAGUGAAAUACUACUGAUGAUUGUAGCUCCUAAUCAUAUUCUCAGCUGUGUCACUAUUUACGCUAAAGAAAAUGACACAAAUAUACAUAUCUAUAAAGAAGUAAUUCCCCAUAAUGGGCAUUGGAGUAGGCAUGAUUUACACUCUGUUG